AUACGUAGGGUGCAAGCGUUAAUCGGGAUUACUGGGCGUAAAGCGUGCGCAGGCGGUUUUGUACGACAGAGGUGCAAUCCCCGGGCUCCACCUGGGAACUGCCUUUGUGACUGCCAGGCUAGAGUACGGCAGAGGGGGGUGGAAUUUCGCGUGUAGCAGUGAAAUGCGUAGAUCUGCGGAGGAACCCCGAUGGCGAAGGCAAUCCCCUGGUCCUGCACUGACUCUCAUGCACGAACGCGUGGGGAGCAAACACUAUUAGAUACCCUGGUAGUCCACUCCCUAGACGAUUUCAACGGUUGGUUGGGGAUUUAUUUUCUCAGUAACGAAGCUAACGCGUUAAGUUGACCGCCUGGGCAGUACGGCCGCAAGGUUAAAACUCAAAGGAAUUUACGGGG
Molecule: ribosomal RNA, 395 nt
Filed under: uncultured bacterium
Lineage: Bacteria
Description: partial 16S ribosomal RNA
Rfam family: Bacterial small subunit ribosomal RNA
Source: RNAcentral